This 1711-nucleotide long non-coding RNA is filed under the name Cicer arietinum (chickpea). Its description in RNAcentral is "long non-coding RNA (CARI_LNC001494)". Lineage: Eukaryota; Viridiplantae; Streptophyta; Magnoliopsida; Fabales; Fabaceae. The record is from RNAcentral.
ACAAGGUGUAACAGAAACUAAGUUGAAGCUUUUAGCAAAUGUGAGUGGUGUUUUUGCACCUGGUGUACUUACAGCAUUAAUGGGAUCAAGUGGAGCUGGGAAAACCACUUUAAUGGAUGUGCUUGCAGGAAGGAAAACAGGAGGAUAUAUUGAGGGUGAUAUUAAAAUAUCUGGUUACCCAAAAGUGCAACACACAUUUGCAAGAAUAGCAGGAUAUGUUGAACAAAAUGACAUACAUUCUCCUCAAAUGACAGUUGAGGAGUCCUUGUGGUUUUCUGCAUCAUUAAGGCUUCAAAAGGAAGUUAGCAAAGAAAAAAAGCAAGUGAGUUCCUAUCAGAGAUAUAUUAUCUUAUGCCCAAUUAUAUUCAAUAACAAUUCAUUGGUCUGUGAGGUAUCAUUUAAUGUGACCUUAAAUAUUAUAAGGGCGAAAAAUGUAAUUUUAGACUUUUUGGACGCGAUAUGAUCAUUGCUAAUACAGGCGGAUCAGGUGUACUGAUGAUUUUAUUCUUGUUGGGAGGAUUUAUUGUCCCAAAAGGUAGGCUGCGCCAAAAAACUAUGUGACAAAAGGAAGGCAUAUACAUUUGCUAUGCCGUUGGUUGGUGAUUUUGGUUGCAUUUUUCAGGUAUGAUUAAGCCAUGGUGGCUUUGGGGUUACUGGUUAUCGCCUCUUAAUUACGGACAAAGAGCUAUUUCAGUCAACGAAUUUACUGCCACAAGAUGGAUGGGGGUACUUCAUGCAAGCUUAUUAAAUUUCAGUUUUCUAUAUUUUAAUUUUUACAUAUAGUUUUUAUAGAAGAUUUAUGAAAUUAUGGAAACUGUUUAUUUUAGACUUCAGCUUUAGGGAACGACCCAGUUGGUCACAAUAUACUCAAGUCAUUCAAUUUACCAACUGAAGAUUACUGGUAUUGGCUUAGUUUGGGAGUUUUAACACUCUACACAUUGUUUUUCAACUUAUUGACAACUUUGGCACUGACCUAUCUGAAUCGUAAGUUUAGUGCAAUUUUUCAUCCAUCCAAGUUCUUGUAGUAUAUGUAAUAAUUGGUAUCCAUGAAUGAUCACUUUCUCCAAUCUUUAUGCUCUCUAUCUUUGCAUGCCACAGCACUCAAAAAACCAAGAGCAGUUACUAACAAUGAAGAUGAAGAUUCACAAAAGAGUUAUGAUAACGUUGACAAUGAAUCAACAAAAAGUUCCAAAUCUACUGGUGGAGAGAGCAAAAACAAGGGAAUGAUUCUUCCUUUUCAACCAUUGACAAUGACAUUCCACAAUGUCAAUUAUUAUGUUGAUAUGCCAAAGGUGAAUGGAAUGUUUUUGAAAGAUGAAAUACAAGAAAGUAGGAAGAGUUGAAUGAUCCAUUAUUUGUUUCUAAAUGAACUUGUUUUUCCAGGCGAUAAGAAAACAAGGUGUAACAGAAACUAAGUUGAAGCUUUUAGCAAAUGUGAGUGGUGUUUUUGCACCUGGUGUACUUACAGCAUUAAUGGGAUCAAGUGGAGCUGGGAAAACCACUUUAAUGGAUGUGCUUGCAGGAAGGAAAACAGGAGGAUAUAUUGAGGGUGAUAUUAAAAUAUCUGGUUACCCAAAAGUGCAACACACAUUUGCAAGAAUAGCAGGAUAUGUUGAACAAAAUGACAUACAUUCUCCUCAAAUGACAGUUGAGGAGUCCUUGUGGUUUUCUGCAUCAUUAAGGCUUCAAAAGGAAGUUAGCAAAGAAAAAA